This 497-nucleotide ribosomal RNA is filed under the name uncultured bacterium. Its description in RNAcentral is "partial 16S ribosomal RNA". It matches the Rfam family "Bacterial small subunit ribosomal RNA", at positions 28 to 507 of the family's 1533-position model. The record is from RNAcentral.
GAUGAACGCUGGCGGCGUGCCUAAUACAUGCAAGUCGAGCGAACAGACGAGGCGCUUGCCCCUUUGACGUUAGCGGCGGACGGGUGAGUAACACGUAGGUCACCUCCCUAUAAGACUGGGAUAACUUCGGGACAACGGAGCUAAUACCGGAUAAUAUUUCGAACCGCAUGGUUCGAUAGUGAAAGAUGGCUUUGCUAUCCCUUAUAUAUGGACCUGCGCCGUAUUAGCUAGUUGGUAAGGUAACGGCUUACCAAGGCAACGAUUCGUAGCCGACCUGAGAGGGUGAUCGGCCACACGGGAACGGAGACAGGGUCCAGACUCCUAAGGGAGGCAGCAGUAUGGAAUCGUCCGCAAUGGGCGAAAGCCUUACGGAACAACGCCGCGUGAGUGAUGGAGGUCUUCCGAGCGGAAAACCCUGUUAUGAGGGAAGAACAAACGUGUAAGGAACCGUGGACGUCGUGACGGUACCUAAACAGAAAGCCACGGCUAACUACGUG